UUCCGGUUGAUCCCGCCGGACCUGACUGCUAUCGGAUUGAUACUAAGCCAUGCGAGUCAUUGUAGCAAUACAAGGCAGACGGCUCAGUAACGCGUAGUCAACCUAACCUAUGGACGGGAAUAACCUCGGGAAACUGAGAAUAAUGCCCGAUAGAACACUAUGCCUGGAAUGGUUUGUGUUCCAAAUGAUUUAUCGCCGUAGGAUGGGACUGCGGCUUAUCAGUUUGUUGGUGAGGUAAUGGCCCACCAAGACUAUUACAGGUACGGGCUCUGAGAGGAGUGGCCCGGAGAUGGGUACUGAGACACGGACCCAGGCCCUAUGGGGCGCAGCAGGCGAGAAAACUUUGCAAUGUGCGAAAGCACGACAAGGUUAAUCCGAGUGGUUUCUGCUAAAGGAACCUUUUGUCGGUCCUAGAAACACCGAUGAAUAAGGGGUGGGCAAGUUCUGGUGUCAGCCGCCGCGGUAAAACCAGCACCUCAAGUGGUCAGGAUGAUUAUUGGGCCUAAAGCAUCCGUAGCCUGCUUUGUUAGUUUUCGGUUAAAUCUGUACGCUCAACGUACAGGCUGCCGGGAAUACUGCAAAGCUAGGGAGUGGGAGAGGUAGACGGUACUCGGUAGGAAGGGGUAAAAUCCUUUGAUCUAUUGAUGACCACCUGUGGCGAAGGCGGUCUACCAGAACACGUCCGACGGUGAGGGAUGAAAGCUGGGGGAGCAAACCGGAUUAGAUACCCGGGUAGUCCCAGCUGUAAACCAUGCAAACUCAGUGAUGCAUUGGCUUGUGGCCAAUGCAGUGCUGCAGGGAAGCCGUUAAGUUUGCCGCCUGGGAAGUACGUACGCAAGUAUGAAACUUAAAGGAAUUGGCGGGGGAGCACCACAAGGGGUGAAGCCUGCGGUUCAAUUGGAGUCAACGCCGGGAAUCACUAGUGC
Molecule: ribosomal RNA, 926 nt
Filed under: uncultured archaeon
Lineage: Archaea
Description: bacterial SSU rRNA
Rfam family: Archaeal small subunit ribosomal RNA
Source: RNAcentral